GUGUCAGCAGCCGCGGUAAUACGUGGGGUGCAAACGUUGCUCGGAAUCAUUGGGCGUAAAGCGCACGUAGGCGGCCAACUAAGUCUGACGUGAAAGCCCUCGGCUUAACCGAGGAAGUGCAUCGGAUACUGGAUGGCUUGAAUCUCAAAGAGGGUUGCGGAAUUCCCGGUGUAGAGGUGAAAUUCGUAGAUAUCGGGAGGAACACCAGUGGCGAAGGCGGCAACCUGGUUGAUGAUUGACGCUGAGGUGCGAAAGCGUGGGGAGCAAACAGGAUUAGAUACCCCUGUAGUCC
RNAcentral lists this ribosomal RNA (292 nucleotides) under uncultured bacterium. RNAcentral's name for it is "partial 16S ribosomal RNA". It matches the Rfam family "Bacterial small subunit ribosomal RNA", at positions 505 to 796 of the family's 1533-position model. The record is from RNAcentral.